This 352-nucleotide ribosomal RNA is filed under the name uncultured bacterium. RNAcentral's name for it is "bacterial SSU rRNA". It matches the Rfam family "Bacterial small subunit ribosomal RNA", at positions 71 to 422 of the family's 1533-position model. The record is from RNAcentral.
UUGGGGAGCUUGCUCCCCAUGAGAGUGGCGCACGGGUGCGUAACACGUAUGUAACCUACCUUUAUCAGGGGGAUAGCCUCUCGAAAGAGAGAUUAAGCCCGCAUAACAUUACGACAUAGCAUUAUGAUGUAAUCAAAUAUUUAUAGGAUAAAGAUGGGCAUGCGGAACAUUAGCUAGUUGGUAAGGUAAUGGCUUACCAAGGCUACGAUGUUUAGGGGAUCUGAGAGGAUGACCCCCCACACUGGUACUGAGACACGGACCAGACUCCUACGGGAGGCAGCAGUAAGGAAUAUUGGUCAAUGGGCGCAAGCCUGAACCAGCCAUGCCGCGUGCAGGAAGACGGCCCUACGGG